GAUGAACGCUGGCGGCGUGCCUAAUACAUGCAAGUCGAGCGAACAGACGAGGAGCUUGCUCCUCUGACGUUAGCGGCGGACGGGUGAGUAACACGUGGAUAACCUACCUAUCAGACUGGGAUAACUUCGGGAAACCGGAGCUAAUACCGGAUAAUAUAUUGAACCGCAUGGUUCAAUAGUGAAAGACGGUUUUGCUGUCACUUAUAGAUGGAUCCGCGCCGCAUUAGCUAGUUGGUAAGGUAACGGCUUACCAAGGCGACGAUGCGUAGCCGACCUGAUAGGGUGGUCGGCCACACUGGAACUGAGACACGGUCCAGACUCCUACGGGAGGCAGCAGUAGGGAAUCGUCCGCAAUGGGCGAAAGCCUGACGGAGCAACGCCGCGUGAGUUAUGAAGGUCUUCGGAUCGUAAAACUCUGUUAUUAGGGAAGAACAAAUGUGUAAGUAACUAUGCACGUCUUGACGGUACCUAAUCAGAAAGCCACGGCUAACUACGUG
RNAcentral lists this ribosomal RNA (497 nucleotides) under uncultured bacterium. Its description in RNAcentral is "partial 16S ribosomal RNA". It matches the Rfam family "Bacterial small subunit ribosomal RNA", at positions 28 to 507 of the family's 1533-position model. The record is from RNAcentral.